GAAAUUUUCUUGCUAUAAAAUGGUUUGCUGACUUGGUCAAUCCCACCAACGACAUUGCCAUUGCUUUUCAUGUCUUGGCCCUUUUGGCUUGUUGUCUGUCUCUUUCCAUAUUCUGUUUCGCUUAGUUUGUAUUUGAAUCUUCUCCAUCAAUAGGCACCAAUCCAAUACCUUGUCUUGCCAUUUUUUUUGCAUUCAAUAUUCAUCAACAUUGCUUUUGUUGUAUCUUCAUUUUAAUAGUCUCUGUUGAUUUUUGGUCACUAAUGGGUCGUGCUGGAGUAUUAAGUAGUUCUCCAAUGCUUUGUGCUCCAUUAAUGGCUCAAUCUGUUGAGCAAAUGAUUACUGACAUGCAUCGCGCAAAGACACAGGGUGCUGACGUUGUUGAGGUCAGGUUGGACUAUCUCAUGAACUUCCAGCCUCGCCAAGACCUCGAAACCAUCCUCAGAAACAAGCCUUUGCCGGUGGUUAUUGUGUAUCGGCCAAAAUGGGAAGGGGGCCUGUAUGAAGGAGAUGAGCACAGAAGACUGGAAGCACUUCGUCUGGCUCAUGAAUUGGGAGCUGAUUAUAUUGAUUUUGAGCUCAAGGUGGCUUCUGAUUUGGUAGGGGAGCUGAAAAAAACACAUCAAACUGGUAGCAAAGUUAUUGUAUCGUGUUAUUUGAACCGUCCAACUCCUUCAAAAGAAGAACUUAGCCGUCUGGUUGGGAUCAUGCAAGCUACUGAAGCAGAUAUUAUCAAAGUUGUUUCCUGUGCAGAUAAUAUUACAGAAUUGGAAACACUUUUCCAUUUGCUUUUACAUUGCCAGGUACCAAUAAUUGCAUACUCCGUGGGGGAAAGAGGUAUCAUAAGCCAGAUAUUAGCUCCAAAAUUUGGUGGUUCUUUAGUCUAUGGAUCCCUGGAAGGAAGUUCAAUUCCUGGUCUGCCUACUUUAGACAGCCUUACAGAAGCCUAUAAGGUUGAGUCCAUAAAUUCAGAAACUAAAGUUUUUGGUCUAAUUUCUAAACCAGUUGGCCACAGCAAAGGUCCCAUAUUGCAUAAUCCUACCUUCAGACGUGUGAACUAUAAUGGAAUUUAUGUCCCAAUGUUUGUUGAUGAUCUCAAGGAAUUCUUUAGUGUCUACUCAAGCCCUGACUAUGCUGGUUUUAGGUAUGGCUUUUACAAGCUUAUUUUCGAUCUAAAGUAAGAGAACAUAAACUUGUUAAAUAGUUAAUUGUUGUAAAACAUCAUUUGAGAAAUGUAAUUUUUAUUGAUAUCCUGUCCAUUUUGCAUAAAAUUUAAGAAUAUUUGUCAAGAUAAAAUGAUGUCUAUUUGUUUGCUACAUAUUGCUUGGUUCAUAUAUAAUAGCUUUUUUUACCAGUCAGCUUAUUUUCAAUCUUGGUAACUACAUAAUCUGAUCUACGCUUUGUUGUCUUAAUUUUUCAUUUGGUUCAUUUGUUUGAACUGUAGUGUUGGAUUUCCGUACAAGGAAGCUGUUGUCAAGUUUUGUGAUGAAGUCCAUCCACUUGCAAAGGUUGACAUCGUUGAGAUUUGUAUUCUUGAUGAUCAACAUGAUCUAGAUAAUAGUAAUCUUGUCUUUUUAUAUUUCAUUAUAAUCAACUUUAUACGCUUUAUUAGUCUAUAGGUGCUGCAAACACCAUUGUUAGGAGGCCUAGUGAUGGGAAGUUGAUAGGUUAUAAUACAGAUUGUGAGGCUUCAAUAACUGCUAUGGAGGAUGCUUUAAAAGGUAAUGAGUCUAAAUGGCAUAAGCUACUCAAUUAUGUACCUUUGGAGUGUUAUAUUUUAAUGCUUUUUGAUGUUGAUUAUAGCCAUUGAUAGAUAAUCAAAUCUAGCUUUUGAAAUAGUUAUAUUGUGUAUUGGAAUAUUACAGAACAAGGAUACAUCAAUAGCAAAGCAUCUCCUAUCUCUGCACUAACAGGAAGACAGUUUGUGCUAGUUGGGGCUGGAGGGGCAGGAAGAGCACUUGCAUUUGGUGCUAAAAGUAGGGGUGCCCGUAUAAUCAUUUUCGAUGUUGAUUUUGGUAUAUACAUUUUUUUAUCAUUUCUUUUCUACAGUGUGCUGCAGUACACUAUUGGUAUUUUAAUGAACUGGAGCAUCUGAAAUUUAUUUUUCAUCUCUAAUGUUUAUCCAAAAAGAGAGAGCAAAGUCUCUGGCACAUGGGGUUUCGGGUGAAGCUCAGCCUUUCGAAAAUCUAGUUCAUUUCCAGCCAGAGGAUGGAGCAAUCCUGGCAAAUGCAACACCUUUAGGAAUGCAUCCAAAUACAGAUAGAAUUCCUGUGGCUGAGGUUCUUUCUGCUUCACAGAUAAAACAAAAUUCCAUUCAGGUUUUUGUUAUUAAAACUUCUGUUCAAUUUUUUCUUUUUCAAGGCAACCCUGGGGAUCUAUCACCUGGUCUUUGAUGCUGUCUAUACACCUAGAAAAACCAGACUAUUAAAAGAAGCCGAAGCAGCAGGAGCAAUCAUAGUAAGUGGGGUUGAAAUGUUCCUUAGACAAGCAAUCGGCCAGUUCAACCUCUUCACGGGCAGAGAAGGUAUCUCUUCAACUUUGAGGACAAGUUGGAAGCUAGCCUUAGUACUUUAUUGUUUAUUAGCUUAAAAUACUUGUUUUAUGGCUGUUCUCAAUCCUGACUUGCUGCUGAGUUUUGUCCUUCAUGAUUUUUUUGAAUUUUGAUAUCCAUCUUGUGCCACCAUGAAAAAGCAGGUGACCCAAAAUUGUUUUUUUGUUAACUGGUGUCUUAGCCUUGUGGUAAAGAUGAGGUUAUCUAGGAUUAGAUGUCAGGGUUAAAUCUCACUAGUAGCAAUCCCUCUCCCUCAAUACUCCAAAACAAAGAAGUUGCUUUCAUUUGUGCUCAGAGAACCCUCAAAGCAAACAUGUUCUGAUUGUUUUCUGUGUUCACUAAUAUUAUAUAGAUGAUCUCACUUUUGCUGGUUUGCUUUUGCUUCCUGUUUUUUGGCAGCACCGACAGAUUUCAUGCGAGAGAUUGUUUUAGCCAAGUUCUGAAGCAUUGCAUCACAAGAAAACUUUUGUGAUGUGGAAUCUCACCCUGUCAUUUGCAAUUGUCUACCAAUAAACCGAAGCUGAUGAACUGUUCAAACUAGCUUCAACAUUAUCUAGUUGGUGCAGCUUAAUUCAUUGCCAAGCAAAGACCUAGCUUAGUUUCCAACAAUAACUAAAAAGUAAAGCCACUUACUGGACCAGAAACAGCAUUUUCUUGGACAAAAAUUCAUAACAAUACAAAUUGUUAAGUAUUAAAAAUAAAAUAAACCUAAUUUCACUAUUCAUCAUCUUCCUCCUCCAUUCUAUUCUCUCAUAUUCCUGUAAACAAAAUUCUGUGGAAAACUAGUGUCUGGUGAAAAAUUAUAGUAUAUGUGUCAAUUUUCCAGAUGGU
RNAcentral lists this unclassified non-coding RNA (3379 nucleotides) under Hevea brasiliensis (rubber tree). The record is from RNAcentral. Lineage: Eukaryota; Viridiplantae; Streptophyta; Magnoliopsida; Malpighiales; Euphorbiaceae.